GAUGAACGCUGGCGGCGUGCCUAAUACAUGCAAGUCGAGCGAACGGACGAGAAGCUUGCUUCUCUGAUGUUAGCGGCGGACGGGUGAGUAACACGUGGAUAACCUACCUAUAAGACUGGGAUAACUUCGGAAAACCGGAGCUAAUACCGGAUAAUAUUUUGAACCGCAUGGUUCAAUAGUGAAAGACGGUCUUGCUGUCACUUAUAGAUGGAUCCGCGCUGCAUUAGCUAGUUGGUAAGGUAACGGCUUACCAAGGCAACGAUGCAUAGCCGACCUGAGAGGGUGAUCGGCCACACUGGAACUGAGACACGGUCCAGACUCCUACGGGAGGCAGCAGUAGGGAAUCUUCCGCAAUGGGCGAAAGCCUGACGGAGCAACGCCGCGUGAGUGAUGAAGGUCUUCGGAUCGUAAAACUCUGUUAUUAGGGAAGAACAGAUGUGUAAGUAACUGUGCACAUCUUGACGGUACCUAAUCAGAAAGCCACGGCUAACUACGUG
This 497-nucleotide ribosomal RNA is filed under the name uncultured bacterium. Its description in RNAcentral is "partial 16S ribosomal RNA". It matches the Rfam family "Bacterial small subunit ribosomal RNA", at positions 28 to 507 of the family's 1533-position model. The record is from RNAcentral.